UCCUGGCUCAGGAUUAACGCUGGCGGCGUGCCUAAUACAUGCAAGUCGAAUGGUAGUAGCAAUACAAACCGAUGGCGAACGGGUGAGUAACACGUAGGUAACCUGUCUUUAAGACGAGGAUAACCAUUGGAAACGAUGGAUAAUACUGGAUAGGACAUCAUAAAGGGCAUCCUUAGAUGUUUAAAGAUUAUAAUGUCACUUAGAGAGGGGCCUGCGGCGCAUUAGCUAGUUGGUGAGGUAAGAGCCCACCAAGGCGAUGAUGCGUAGCCGGACUGAGAGGUUGAACGGCCACAAUGGAACUGAGAACGGUCCAUACUCCUACGGGAGGCAGCAGUAGGGAAUUUUCGGCAAUGGGCGCAAGCCUGACCGAGCAACGCCGCGUGAACGAAGAAGUUAUUCGUAAUGUAAAGUUCUUUUAUCUGGGAAGAAAAACAAAUUGACGGUACCAGAUGAAUAAGCUCCGGCUAACUACGUGCCAGCCGCCGC
RNAcentral lists this ribosomal RNA (486 nucleotides) under uncultured bacterium. RNAcentral's name for it is "bacterial SSU rRNA". It matches the Rfam family "Bacterial small subunit ribosomal RNA", at positions 17 to 518 of the family's 1533-position model. The record is from RNAcentral.